CACGUAGGCGGACUGGAAAGUUGGGGGUGAAAUCCUAGGGCUCAACCCUGGAACUGCCUUCAAAACUCCCAGUCUAGAGUUCGAGAGAGGUGAGUGGAAUUCCGAGUGUAGAGGUGAAAUUCGUAGAUAUUCGGAGGAACACCAGUGGCGAAGGCGGCUCACUGGCUCGAUACUGACGCUGAGGUGCGAAAGCGUGGGGAGCAAACA
This 207-nucleotide ribosomal RNA is filed under the name uncultured bacterium. RNAcentral describes it as "partial 16S ribosomal RNA". It matches the Rfam family "Bacterial small subunit ribosomal RNA", at positions 568 to 774 of the family's 1533-position model. The record is from RNAcentral.